RNAcentral lists this ribosomal RNA (690 nucleotides) under uncultured Acidobacteriota bacterium. RNAcentral's name for it is "bacterial SSU rRNA". It matches the Rfam family "Bacterial small subunit ribosomal RNA", at positions 15 to 684 of the family's 1533-position model. Lineage: Bacteria; Pseudomonadati; Acidobacteriota. The record is from RNAcentral.
GAUCCUGGCUCAGAAUCAACGCUGGCGGCGUGCCUAACACAUGCAAGUCGAACGCGAAAGCCCCGCAAGGGGUAAGUAGAGUGGCAAACGGGUGAGUAACACGUGGGUGACCUGCCUUCGAGUGGGGGAUAACGUCCCGAAAGGGACGCUAAUACCGCAUAACAUCCUGCCUUUUAAGAGGUGGACAUCAAAGCUGGGGACCGCAAGGCCUGGCGCUUGAAGAGGGGCCCGCGCCUGAUUAGCUAGUUGGUGGGGUAAUGGCUCACCAAGGCUUCGAUCAGUAUCCGGCCUGAGAGGGCGGACGGACACACUGGGACUGAGACACGGCCCAGACUCCUACGGGAGGCAGCAGUGGGGAAUUGUUCGCAAUGGGCGCAAGCCUGACGACGCAACGCCGCGUGGAGGAUGAAGACCUUCGGGUCGUAAACUCCUUUCGAUCGAGACGAAUGGUCUCCGGGUGAACAGCCUGGGGAAGUGACGGUACCGAGAGAAGAAGCCCCGGCUAACUCCGUGCCAGCAGCCGCGGUAAUACGGGGGGGGCAAGCGUUGUUCGGAAUUACUGGGCGUAAAGGGCUCGUAGGUGGCCAACUAAGUCAGACGUGAAAUCCCUCGGCUUAACCGGGGAACUGCGUCUGAUACUGGAUGGCUUGAGUUCGGGAGAGGGAUGCGGAAUUCCAGGUGUAGCGGUGA